RNAcentral lists this ribosomal RNA (757 nucleotides) under uncultured bacterium. RNAcentral describes it as "bacterial SSU rRNA". It matches the Rfam family "Bacterial small subunit ribosomal RNA", at positions 71 to 801 of the family's 1533-position model. The record is from RNAcentral.
UCGGAGUGCUUGCACUCUGUGAAACAAGAUACAGGCUAGCGGCGGACGGGUGAGUAACACGUGGGUAACCUGCCCAAGAGAUCGGGAUAACACCUGGAAACAGAUGCUAAUACCGGAUAACAACAGAUGAUGCCUAUCAACUGUUUAAAAGAUGGUUCUGCUAUCACUCUUGGAUGGACCUGCGGUGCAUUAGCUAGUUGGUAGGGUAACGGCCUACCAAGGCGAUGAUGCAUAGCCGAGUUGAGAGACUGAUCGGCCACAUUGGGACUGAGACACGGCCCAAACUCCUACGGGAGGCAGCAGUAGGGAAUCUUCCACAAUGGACGCAAGUCUGAUGGAGCAACGCCGCGUGAGUGAAGAAGGGUUUCGGCUCGUAAAGCUCUGUUGUUGGUGAAGAAGGACAGGGGUAGUAACUGACCUUUGUUUGACGGUAAUCAAUUAGAAAGUCACGGCUAACUACGUGCCAGCAGCCGCGGUAAUACGUAGGUGGCAAGCGUUGUCCGGAUUUAUUGGGCGUAAAGCGAGUGCAGGCGGCUCGAUAAGUCUGAUGUGAAAGCCUUCGGCUCAACCGGAGAAUUGCAUCAGAAACUGUCGAGCUUGAGUACAGAAGAGGAGAGUGGAACUCCAUGUGUAGCGGUGAAAUGCGUAGAUAUAUGGAAGAACACCGGUGGCGAAGGCGGCUCUCUGGUCUGUUACUGACGCUGAGGCUCGAAAGCAUGGGUAGCGAACAGGAUUAGAUACCCUGGUAGUCCAUGCC